Molecule: RNA transcript, 1507 nt
Organism: Leptidea sinapis
Lineage: Eukaryota; Metazoa; Arthropoda; Insecta; Lepidoptera; Pieridae
Exons: 4
Source: RefSeq, a predicted model, not a curated record
CCACUUGGAGGGUCAUCGGGAUUACGGAUCAUCAACUUCGGUUGCGCUUGAUCAGCAUCAACGCACACGAUUCGUCGGGCAACGAGGCUACGUGUUAAUUUCAUUCAUCACCUGUGGAUGGCAUAACAACCGUGAGAUCGUUCCAACCUACUCCUCAAUAUAUAAAAUCAUUUGCUGUACUGCAUAAUUUAAAAUCAUUUGUCAUUUUAUUCUUGUACAUUGCCUCUCAUUUUUAUUCUAUUUAUAUUCAUCUCAUUCAUCAUAAUCAACUAGAUUUUCUUAGUCUCAUUUAUCGUCAUAUUUGAACAUUAUAACGCCUGACAUCAUUCUAUAGCAAAAUUGCAUUUCUGUGUUAUUUCUUUUCUAUAUUGCCUGUUUGCUUGUGCCUUCUUUAAAACAUACACCUAGUUGGCUUCUAUUUUAUUUUAAGCUUUACUCUUUCUUCCUCAUUAUGUCCGAGUCUCAAAUAAAAACGUUGAUUAAAAAACGAGGUUCUAUAAAGGCCAAGCUUACACAAUUUUCGAAUUAUGUUGAACUAUCUAAAUCUUGUAAAAAAUUAAGCGAAUUGCAGACUAUAGAACUGGAGUUCAGGCUGGCUGCUAUUGAGGCCCUACAUGAAAAGUAUGACGCCUUGCAGGACGAGUUGGAGAUGUUGGCGGACGACCCCGACGAGCAAUAUGCGGAACGCGAAGAAUUUGAUAAACUAUACUGCAGUCUAGUGGCUACUGCUCGCCAGCUGAUCACUAUCGCGCGCAGAGAGUUGAAUGCAGACAUCGCGUCCGAGCGCUCGUGAAUGUGGUGGAUACUAACGGAAAGCUCCAUACCGCACGGGUCUUGCUGGACAACGGGAGCACAGCCAACUUUGUUUCAGAGGAUUUCUGCCCAGCUCUCAACCGAUUUAUUGCUCGGAGGGGGAAACCACGCCACAUCUUCUCGGACAAUGGUAGUACUUUCGUCGGGGCCUUCAAUGAGCUAGCACAGCUUCUAGCACAGGAUCUCGACCUAAAUAAAAUCGAUCCAGGAAAAAUCCAAAUGGCAUCGCUCUACCAGAGGAGAACUAAAGGAAGGGGCUCUCGUUGUAAUCAAGGACAAGACCUCUCCGCAUCUUAUGUGGCUGAUGGGACGAGUCAUCCGUGUGCUACCAGGGAGUGACGGCGUCGCAAGAGUUGCAGACAUACGCACACGCAAGGGUGUGCUCAGACGGGCAUUCAACACUAUUUGCCCCCUGCCUCUACAGUGACUCUACCUUGAAGACCACGGCUCUUCAACAGGGGGAGCAUGUUGGAGCCGCCUUAACUGCGGCUGAUGAACCGGUUGUGUAGCCGGACGCCAGAGGGGAGCCGCCGGAGAGGGGAGGCAACGGUCGUCGACCCACUCGGCAGUGCCACGUCCCGCAGUCGCGUCAAACCCUAUCAGCACGACACCCGCGCACGCGCAUCUACCUAUUUACAAUAUUUCCGCAUACGAUAACCAGUUACUUUGUGCUGUCAAUAAACAUUUAACUACA